This 443-nucleotide ribosomal RNA is filed under the name uncultured bacterium. Its description in RNAcentral is "bacterial SSU rRNA". It matches the Rfam family "Bacterial small subunit ribosomal RNA", at positions 772 to 1205 of the family's 1533-position model. The record is from RNAcentral.
ACGCAAUAGAUACCCCGGUAGUCCACGCCCUAAACCGAUGUCUACUAGUUGUUGGGAGGAGUAAAAUACUCUUAGUAAACGCAGCUAAACGCGUGAAGUAGACCGCCUGGGGAGUACGGUCGCAAGAUUAAAACUCAAAGGAAUUGACGGGGGCCCGGCACAAGCGGUGGAUUAUGUGGAUUAAUUCGAUGCAACGCGAAAAACCUUAACCUGGCCUUGACAUGCUACUAACGAAGCAGAGAUGCAUUAGGUGCCCGAAAGGGAAAGUAGACACAGGUGCUGCAUGGCUGUCGUCAGCUCGUGUCGUGAGAUGUUGGGUUAAAGUCCCGCAACGAGCGCAACCCUUGCCAAUAAUUGCCAUCAUUUAGUUGGGCACUUUAUUGGGACUGCCGGUGACAAACCGGAGGAAGGUGGGGAUGGCGUCAAGUCCUCAUGGCCCUUAU